UACGGAGGAUCCAAGCGUUAUCCGGAACUACUGGGCGUAAAGAGUUGCGUAGGUGGCAUGGUAAGCGAAUAGUGAAAGCGUCCCGCUCAACGGGAUAAACAUUAUUUGAACUGCCAAGCUAGAGGAUGAGAGAGGUAGAUGGAAUUCCUAGUGUAGGGGUAAAAUCCGUUGAUAUUAGGAGGAACACCGAUGGCGUAGGCAGUCUACUGGCUCAUUUCUGACACUCAGGCACGAAAGCGUGGGGAGCAAACGGG
This 254-nucleotide ribosomal RNA is filed under the name uncultured bacterium. RNAcentral describes it as "partial 16S ribosomal RNA". It matches the Rfam family "Bacterial small subunit ribosomal RNA", at positions 524 to 776 of the family's 1533-position model. The record is from RNAcentral.